Molecule: microRNA precursor, 124 nt
Filed under: Oryza sativa Indica Group (long-grained rice)
Lineage: Eukaryota; Viridiplantae; Streptophyta; Magnoliopsida; Poales; Poaceae
Description: pre miRNA MIR1428
Rfam family: MIR1428 microRNA precursor family (bases 8-117)
Source: RNAcentral
GGUUAGUGCACUUUGCAAAUUUGCAGGCUCUAUCUUGUGGUAUGAAAUGAGUACGCGAUGAUUCCUUUUGCGUAUUGGGGGCUGACCAUAAGAUAAAGCCGCGAAUUUGCAAAGUGUUCAAACC